AUGAGUUUAAAGAGGUGCUUUCUCUCUCACUUUCGUCGGCUAUGGACAAAAGAGAGCCGCUGGAGGAUGAUGUUAUUUCCUUAACAUUGUCUCAUUCGGGGGCCAGUGCUCUAUGGGAUUCAGCCGAGGAAGAGCAGGAGAUGUCUGAGGAUGGUGAAGAAGCUGAGGCUGAGCCUUUCCAAUCCUCUUGCCCUGCAUAUGACGAGCUGUUGAAGGUUAUGGAUUGCGCCAGGUGAGGCUGGACUUGCCGUGGAAGUGGGCUAAGAAAGUGACAUUGCAAGGUUAUCUCUCUGAGCAUUAUCUUUUUGGCCAUAGCCCUUCAGCUCAGGGCCGAGCAAUAUCAAACUCCUUCUGAAUGUCUUGAAGACUCCAAGACUCUUCUCUUUGACUAGACUUUCCAUCGUGUCUGCCAUUUGACCAUCCAUCAGUCGGAUCAAUCCUGCAGAAAAUGCAUCAAAAACUUUAAGAAAAGUUGAAUAAUUGUAACAAAACCA
Carassius auratus (goldfish) is the source of this 494-nucleotide long non-coding RNA. RefSeq lists it as uncharacterized. The record is from RefSeq and is a predicted model, not a curated record. NCBI's taxonomy places the organism in Eukaryota, Metazoa, Chordata, Actinopteri, Cypriniformes, Cyprinidae. The transcript is spliced from 3 exons.